Molecule: long non-coding RNA, 744 nt
Organism: Aedes aegypti (yellow fever mosquito)
Lineage: Eukaryota; Metazoa; Arthropoda; Insecta; Diptera; Culicidae
Exons: 3
Source: RefSeq, a predicted model, not a curated record
GGUGCUACCACGGCGAGGAAUCUUCUCACAGCUACUUUAUCUUGAGGAGAGUGAACACAAAUUGUUCCAAUUGACUAGAUGUAAGUUGUUUUGUAGAAGUUUUGUUUUUUUUUAGGAUUAUUACCGGAUCACCUGGCUAGAGCAAAACAACUGGAACUCAUGAAUUAUGAAGGCGUAAUCAAAACCUCAGGUCGGGUCGGAUGGACAAACGAUAAAUACCUACGACUCUAACUAGGAAAAGCGAAUGUAAACAUGAAAAUACUUGGAUGCAACCAAAAACAAACCAUUUUACAGACGAGCCAGGAUUUUAAACCCACUGAUAAUAAAAGGGCGGAACGGAUCUAAAUGCAUUCGUCUACUAUUCACGACUUGAAUUAUGUUGACUGAUGUUGAGGACUCGGAAGUUACAUAAGGAUUAGGGAUGCUGUGCUGAACACGGAUAAACACAAGAAAAUAAGGAGAAACUAACAGGAUUACAUGGAGGACGAAUGAUAUCACAAGUUCAUUGGAUUCCAAGGACUACGAAAAACCAACAGAUAUAUACAUGUCGCUCUGCUUUCCCGGAUGGCGAAGCCAUGCCGAUUGAUUUGGUCUCUUCCUUAUGGAUAAGGGAAAGGCCACCCUCGGUCCCAUAGGAAAACCAUCGGUACGAAAAAUGAACGGGCUCUGUUGAAGCUUCCCAGCCAUUAUGCUCCAUCAUUAGAAUAACUAUGCAAUGCAAUAAAAUUGUUAUAAGUGAUGCAA